AGUUUACAACUUAAUGAGUUACCUUUCUUGUUUUUUAUAAGAACUUAACUAGAUCAUAACCCGUGCUAUACAGCACGGACAUUAAUAUUUUGUAUAAAUUAAAUUGUAUACUUUAUUAUGUUUGCUAUAUUUGUCAAAAUUUAGUAAAAUAUAUUCAA
RNAcentral lists this small RNA (158 nucleotides) under Arabidopsis thaliana (thale cress). RNAcentral's name for it is "ATSL148900". The record is from RNAcentral. Lineage: Eukaryota; Viridiplantae; Streptophyta; Magnoliopsida; Brassicales; Brassicaceae.